This 358-nucleotide ribosomal RNA is filed under the name Verrucomicrobiales bacterium. Its description in RNAcentral is "bacterial SSU rRNA". It matches the Rfam family "Bacterial small subunit ribosomal RNA", at positions 1177 to 1533 of the family's 1533-position model. Lineage: Bacteria; Pseudomonadati; Verrucomicrobiota; Verrucomicrobiia; Verrucomicrobiales. The record is from RNAcentral.
GGACGACGUCAAGUCAUCAUGGCCCUUACGAGUAGGGCUACACACGUGCUACAAUGGGAGAUACAGACGGACGCUAAGCCGCGAGGUGGUGCUAAUCCUAAAAAGUCUUUCGUAGUCCGGAUUGGAGUCUGCAACUCGACUCCAUGAAGUCGGAAUCGCUAGUAAUCGCGGAUCAGCAUGCCGCGGUGAAUACGUUCUCGGGUCUUGUACACACCGCCCGUCACACCAUGGAAGUGGAUUGCACCAGAAGUAGAUAGUCUAACCUUAGGGAGGGCGUUUACCACGGUGUGCUUCAUGACUGGGGUGAAGUCGUAACAAGGUAGCCGUAGGGGAACCUGUGGCUGGAUCACCUCCUUAA